This 402-nucleotide ribosomal RNA is filed under the name Triticum aestivum (bread wheat). RNAcentral's name for it is "partial small subunit ribosomal RNA". Lineage: Eukaryota; Viridiplantae; Streptophyta; Magnoliopsida; Poales; Poaceae. The record is from RNAcentral.
AUUCGCGCAUGUGGUACCUCCUUCAAGCUCACUACGGUCUACGGCCCUACAGAUCAUGCCGAGAAAGAAGCCUUUCUCUUAGAAGUUAUCGCUGCCAAGCCUUCUGACGACUCAAAAUGGCUCAUCAUUGGGGAUUUCAACCUUAUCUACCAAGCGGAGGAUAAGAACAACAACAACCUAGACUUCCGCCUGAUGGGUCUCUUCAGAAGAGCCCUCACCAACUGUCAGCUUAAGGAGCUGAAGCUGCAGAACCGGAGGUUUACUUGGAGCAACGAAAGGGAGACCCCAACUCUUGUGCGUCUGGAUCGGGCUUUCUGCAAUGCUUCUUGGGACCUCAUGUUCGAGAAUCAUGUGCUACAUGCCCUGUCCUCAUCCCUCUCGGACCACUGCCCCCUCCUCCUU